GAUAAACGCUGGCGGCGUGCAUGAGACAUGCAAGUCGAACGAAGGAUCGGGCUUUCUCGAUCCUUAGUGGCGGACGGCUGCGUAACGCGUAGGUGACCUACCCCGUAGUGGGGAAUAACUGCCCGAAAGGGUGGCUAAUACCGCUUGUGGUCGCACGUUCAUUCUUGCGAGUAAAGCCGCAAGGGGCGUCGGGAGGGGCCGGCGUCCGAUUAGCUCGUUUGUGGGUUAAUGGCAUACCAAGGCGACGAUUGGUAGGUGGUCUGAGAGGAGGAUAACCCAGACUGGGACUGAGAAACGGCCCAGAAUCCUACGGGAGGGAGCAGUGGGGAAUUUUGCAAAAUGGGGGAAACCGUGAAGAAGCAACGCCGCGUGAGGGAUGAAGGCGUUCGGGAUGUAAACCUGUUUUGUCAGGGAAGAUGAUGACGGUACCUGGCGAAUAAGCCACGGCUAACUACGUG
This 458-nucleotide ribosomal RNA is filed under the name uncultured bacterium. Its description in RNAcentral is "partial 16S ribosomal RNA". It matches the Rfam family "Bacterial small subunit ribosomal RNA", at positions 28 to 507 of the family's 1533-position model. The record is from RNAcentral.